Molecule: ribosomal RNA, 253 nt
Filed under: uncultured bacterium
Lineage: Bacteria
Description: partial 16S ribosomal RNA
Rfam family: Bacterial small subunit ribosomal RNA
Source: RNAcentral
UACGUAGGGUGCAAGCGUUAAUCGGAAUUACUGGGCGUAAAGCGUGCGCAGGCGGUUAUGUAAGACAGAUGUGAAAUGCCCGGGCUUAACCUAGGAACUGCAUUUGUGACUGCAUGGCUAGAGUUUGGCAGAGGGGGGUAGAAUUCCACGUGUAGCAGUGAAAUGCGUAGAUAUGUGGAGGAACACCGAUGGCGAAGGCAGCCCCCUGGGUCAAGACUGACGCUCAUGCACGAAAGCGUGGGGAGCAAACAGG